GGUGCAAGCGUUAUCCGGAAUCAUUGGGCGUAAAGCGCCUGUAGGUUGUUUAAUAAGUCUGUUGUUAAAGACUAGGGCUCAACCCUAGAAAAGCAAUGGAUACUACUAGACUAGAGUAUGGCAGGGGUAGAGGGAAUUUCUAGUGUAGCGGUGAAAUGCGUAGAUAUUAGAAAGAACACCGGUGGCGAAAGCGCUCUACUGGACCAUUACUGACACUCAGAGGCGAAAGCUAGGGUAGCAAAAGGGAUUAGAUACCCCUGUAGUCCUAGCCGUAAACGAUGGAUACUACAUGUUGUAUUUAUUUUACAGUAUGGUAGCUAACGCGUUAAGUAUCCCGCCUGGGGAGUACGCUCGCAAGGGUGAAACUCAAAGGAAUUGACGGGGGCCCGCACAAGCGGUGGAGCAUGUGGUUUAAUUCGAUGCAACGCGAAGAACCUUACCAGGGCUUGACAUACUACAGAUCUUUUUGAGAAAGAAGAGUGCCUUCGGGAAUGUAGAUACAGGUGGUGCAUGGCUGUCGUCAGCUCGUGUCGUGAGAUGUUGGGUUAAGUCCCGCAACGAGCGCAACCCUUAUUUUUAGUUACCAAUUCGUUGGGUUCUCUAGAAAGACUGCCGGUGACAAACCGGAGGAAGGUGAGGAUGACGUCAAAUCAGCAUGCCCCUUAUGUCCUGGGCUACACACGUGCUACAAUGGCUAAGACAAAGAGUUGCGAGCUCGCGAGAGUAAGCUAAUCUCAUAAACUUAGCCUAAGUUC
This 755-nucleotide ribosomal RNA is filed under the name uncultured marine haptophyte. RNAcentral's name for it is "bacterial SSU rRNA". It matches the Rfam family "Bacterial small subunit ribosomal RNA", at positions 531 to 1294 of the family's 1533-position model. The record is from RNAcentral. Lineage: Eukaryota; Haptophyta.